UUGUUAUUUUUUGCCCUGAAAAGAAGGUAGCCGGAUUAGUAGUCUAAUUGAGUAGAUGCUGGUGAGGGAGGGUUACUUGAUUUUUAUUGAGUACAUUAUGCUCUGCUUUGUGACGAGGUUUGAAAUUUGAUGGUUCUGAUGUGUAAUAGAGGGGGCAAAAGUGUUACCCAUUUCAUUGUUUCUGUGCAUGUUUACGUUGACCAUCGGUGGCAGGAGGCGGCAUUGCUGGCGGCCGAAGGGGUGCUUUUGGAAGCAGGUGGAAUAGUCGGCAGCUGUGGGGAUUCGUUAUUCUCCGAGGUUGGCGGGCUCGACGCGAGGCUCGAUGGGGCUGCGGGAUUGUCAAGCAGGCGGGUGAUUGCUCAACGAUGACUGGAGACGAUCUUCGGUAUUACAACUGGUUUAUACCAAUGGGUUAUUUGCAUCUCAAGUUAAAUUAGUCACUGUUGAUCAACAAUGAGAUGUGGCCAUUGUUUGAUGGAUCAUAGAUGGUACGGAUGUGCAAUGAAACAAUGAUAUACCCAAUGUAUUGGACCCAAACACCUUCCUGAAAAUUGUUCUGAAGGGGUUAGCACAAGGAAACUAUUGUUAUGACUUGCGAGGUCUGCUGGAGGUGACCGGAUCCGGAUGACUUGAGCAAAGCUGUGAAAAUUCACGGCAAGGGAUGGGGGUACAAGGCAUGGGUCUGCGGCGCCACACCUUGCUAUUCCCUG
Triticum aestivum (bread wheat) is the source of this 710-nucleotide long non-coding RNA. RefSeq lists it as uncharacterized. The transcript is spliced from 4 exons. The record is from RefSeq and is a predicted model, not a curated record. Lineage: Eukaryota; Viridiplantae; Streptophyta; Magnoliopsida; Poales; Poaceae.